UGGGGAAUAUUGCACAAUGGGGGAAACCCUGAUGCAGCGACGCCGCGUGAGCGAAGAAGGUUUUCGAAUCGUAAAGCUCUGUCCUAUGAGAAGAUAAUGACGGUAUCAUAGGAGGAAGCCCCGGCUAAAUACGUGCCAGCAGCCGCGGUAAUACGUAUGGGGCGAGCGUUGUCCGGAAUUAUUGGGCGUAAAGGGUACGUAGGCGGUCUAUUAAGUCAGGUGUGAAAGCGUGAGGCUUAACCUCAUUAAGCACUUGAAACUGAUAGGCUUGAGUGAAGGAGAGGAAAGUGGAAUUCCUAGUGUAGCGGUGAAAUGCGUAGAUAUUAGGAGGAAUACCGGUGGCGAAGGCGACUUUCUGGACUUUUACUGACGCUCAGGUACGAAAGCGUGGGGAGCAAACAGG
Molecule: ribosomal RNA, 403 nt
Filed under: Verrucomicrobiota bacterium
Lineage: Bacteria; Pseudomonadati; Verrucomicrobiota
Description: Verrucomicrobia bacterium partial 16S ribosomal RNA
Rfam family: Bacterial small subunit ribosomal RNA
Source: RNAcentral